GGGGUUGUGGCUCAGUGGUAGAGUGUUCACCUAGCAUGUGUGAGGCCCUGGGUUCGAUCCUCAGCACUACA
RNAcentral lists this transfer RNA (71 nucleotides) under Marmota monax (woodchuck). RNAcentral describes it as "tRNA.Ala". The stretch from base 6 to 66 matches the Rfam family "tRNA", at positions 6 to 65 of the family's 71-position model. Rfam says of the family: Transfer RNA (tRNA) molecules are approximately 80 nucleotides in length. Their secondary structure includes four short double-helical elements and three loops (D, anti-codon, and T loops). Further hydrogen bonds mediate the characteristic L-shaped molecular structure. tRNAs have two regions of fundamental functional importance: the anti-codon, which is responsible for specific mRNA codon recognition, and the 3' end, to which the tRNAs corresponding amino acid is attached (by aminoacyl-tRNA synthetases). tRNAs cope with the degeneracy of the genetic code in two manners: having more than one tRNA (with a specific anti-codon) for a particular amino acid; and 'wobble' base-pairing, i.e. permitting non-standard base-pairing at the 3rd anti-codon position. Lineage: Eukaryota; Metazoa; Chordata; Mammalia; Rodentia; Sciuridae. The record is from RNAcentral.